GAUGAACGCUGGCGGCGUGCUUAACACAUGCAAGUCGAACGGGAGAAGGGGAGCUUGCUCCCCUGAUCUAGUGGCGGACGGGUGAGUAACGCGUGGGCAACCUGCCCUGCAGAGGGGAAUAACACUUAGAAAUAGGUGCUAAUACCGUAUAAGCUUUAAGGUCCGCAUGGAUUUUAAAGGAAAGAUUUAUCGCUGCAGGAUGGGCCCGCGUCUGAUUAGCUAGUUGGUGUGGUAACGGCAUACCAAGGCGACGAUCAGUAACCGACCUGAGAGGGUGAUCGGCAACAUUGGGACUGAGACACGGCCCAAACUCCUACGGGAGGCAGCAGUGGGGAAUAUUGCACAAUGGGCGCAAGCCUGAUGCAGCAACGCCGCGUGAAGGAAGAAGGCUUUCGGGUCGUAAACUUCUAUCAAUGGAGAAGAAACAAAUGACGGUAUCCAAAUAAGAAGCACCGGCUAACUACGUGCCAGCAGCCGCCGCAGUAACAC
RNAcentral lists this ribosomal RNA (489 nucleotides) under uncultured bacterium. RNAcentral describes it as "bacterial SSU rRNA". It matches the Rfam family "Bacterial small subunit ribosomal RNA", at positions 28 to 526 of the family's 1533-position model. The record is from RNAcentral.